This 34-nucleotide non-coding RNA is filed under the name uncultured eukaryote. The record is from RNAcentral.
UUUUUUUUUUUUUUUUUUUUUUUUUUUUUUUUAC